AGAGUUUGAUCCUGGCUCAGGAUGAACGCUGGCGGCGUGCCUAAUACAUGCAAGUCGAGCGAACGGACGAGAAGCUUGCUUCUCUGAUGUUAGCGGCGGACGGGUGAGUAACACGUGGAUAACCUACCUAUAAGACUGGGAUAACUUCGGGAAACCGGAGCUAAUACCGGAUAAUAUUUUGAACCGCAUGGUUCAAAAGUGAAAGACGGUCUUGCUGUCACUUAUAGAUGGAUCCGCGCUGCAUUAGCUAGUUGGUAAGGUAACGGCUUACCAAGGCAACGAUGCAUAGCCGACCUGAGAGGGUGAUCGGCCACACUGGAACUGAGACACGGUCCAGACUCCUACGGGAGGCAGCAGUAGGGAAUCUUCCGCAAUGGGCGAAAGCCUGACGGAGCAACGCCGCGUGAGUGAUGAAGGUCUUCGGAUCGUAAAACUCUGUUAUUAGGGAAGAACAUAUGUGUAAGUAACUGUGCACAUCUUGACGGUACCUAAUCAGAAAGCCACGGCUAACUACGUGCCAGCAGCCGCGGUAAUACGUAGGUGGCAAGCGUUAUCCGGAAUUAUUGGGCGUAAAGCGCGCGUAGGCGGUUUUUUAAGUCUGAUGUGAAAGCCCACGGCUCAACCGUGGAGGGUCAUUGGAAACUGGAAAACUUGAGUGCAGAAGAGGAAAGUGGAAUUCCAUGUGUAGCGGUGAAAUGCGCAGAGAUAUGGAGGAACACCAGUGGCGAAGGCGACUUUCUGGUCUGUAACUGACGCUGAUGUGCGAAAGCGUGGGGAUCAAACAGGAUUAGAUACCCUGGUAGUCCACGCCGUAAACGAUGAGUGCUAAGUGUUAGGGGGUUUCCGCCCCUUAGUGCUGCAGCUAACGCAUUAAGCACUCCGCCUGGGGAGUACGACCGCAAGGUUGAAACUCAAAGGAAUUGACGGGGACCCGCACAAGCGGUGGAGCAUGUGGUUUAAUUCGAAGCAACGCGAAGAACCUUACCAAAUCUUGACAUCCUUUGACAACUCUAGAGAUAGAGCUUUCCCCUUCGGGGGACAAAGUGACAGGUGGUGCAUGGUUGUCGUCAGCUCGUGUCGUGAGAUGUUGGGUUAAGUCCCGCAACGAGCGCAACCCUUAAGCUUAGUUGCCAUCAUUAAGUUGGGCACUCUAAGUUGACUGCCGGUGACAAACCGGAGGAAGGUGGGGAUGACGUCAAAUCAUCAUGCCCCUUAUGAUUUGGGCUACACACGUGCUACAAUGGACAAUACAAAGGGCAGCGAAACCGUGAGGUCAAGCAAAUCCCAUAAAGUUGUUCUCAGUUCGGAUUGUAGUCUGCAACUCGACUACAUG
This 1333-nucleotide ribosomal RNA is filed under the name Staphylococcus aureus M1217. RNAcentral describes it as "bacterial SSU rRNA". It matches the Rfam family "Bacterial small subunit ribosomal RNA", at positions 8 to 1322 of the family's 1533-position model. Lineage: Bacteria; Bacillati; Bacillota; Bacilli; Caryophanales; Staphylococcaceae. The record is from RNAcentral.